This 253-nucleotide ribosomal RNA is filed under the name uncultured bacterium. Its description in RNAcentral is "partial 16S ribosomal RNA". It matches the Rfam family "Bacterial small subunit ribosomal RNA", at positions 524 to 776 of the family's 1533-position model. The record is from RNAcentral.
UACGGAGGGUGCAAGCGUUAUCCGGAUUCACUGGGUUUAAAGGGUGCGUAGGUGGGUCUGUAAGUCAGUGGUGAAAUCUCCGAGCUUAACUCGGAAACUGCCAUUGAUACUAUAGAUCUUGAAUUAUCUGGAGGUUAGCGGAAUAUGUCAUGUAGCGGUGAAAUGCUUAGAUAUGACAUAGAACACCGAUUGCGAAGGCAGCUUGCUACACGAUCAUUGACACUGAGGCACGAAAGCGUGGGGAUCAAACAGG